CCGGGCAAAGGAAGCAUUGAAACCUGUUUAUGAGCUGGUUAUUUAAACAGGUGGGACAAAUAGUGAAACCAGUCUCGUUCUGU
This 83-nucleotide non-coding RNA is filed under the name unclassified sequences. The record is from RNAcentral.